RNAcentral lists this ribosomal RNA (395 nucleotides) under Palio dubia. Its description in RNAcentral is "SSU rRNA". It matches the Rfam family "Eukaryotic small subunit ribosomal RNA", at positions 564 to 952 of the family's 1831-position model. The record is from RNAcentral. Lineage: Eukaryota; Metazoa; Mollusca; Gastropoda; Nudibranchia; Polyceridae.
GUGCCAGCAGCCGCGGUAAUUCCAGCUCCAAUAGCGUAUAUUAAAGUUGUUGCAGUUAAAAAGCUCGUAGUUGGAUCUCGGGAGCAGGCGGGCGGUCCGGCUCGCGCCGGUUCGCCGCCCGUUCACCUGCCCCACCCCUGCCGGCUCCCUCCCGGCGGUGCUCUUCGCUGAGCGUCCCGGGCGGCCGGCGCGUUUACUUUGAAAAAAUUAGAGUGUUCAAGGCGGGCCGUACGCGCCCGAAUAACUGCGCAUGGAAUAAUGGAAUAGGACCUCGGUUCUAUUUUGCUGGUUUUCGGAAUCCGAGGUAAUGAUUGACGGGGACAAACGGGGGCAUUCGUAUUGCGGCGUUAGAGGUGAAAUUCUUGGAUCGCCGCAAGACGGGCUACUGCGAAAGC